RNAcentral lists this ribosomal RNA (494 nucleotides) under uncultured bacterium. RNAcentral describes it as "bacterial SSU rRNA". It matches the Rfam family "Bacterial small subunit ribosomal RNA", at positions 899 to 1397 of the family's 1533-position model. The record is from RNAcentral.
ACUCAAAGGAAUAGACGGGGACCCGCACAAGCAGCGGAGCAUGUGGUUUAAUUCGAAGCAACGCGAAGAACCUUACCAGGGCUUGACAUCCCCCUGAAAGCCGCUUAACCGCGGCCCCCCUCGGGCAGGGGAGACAGGUGGUGCAUGGUUGUCGUCAGCUCGUGUCGUGAGAUGUUGGGUUAAGUCCCGCAACGAGCGCAACCCUUGCCGUUAGUUGCCAUCAUUAGGUUGGGCACUCUAGCGGGACUGCCGGGGAUAACUCGGAGGAAGGUGGGGACGACGUCAAAUCAUCAUGCCCCUUAUGCCCUGGGCUACACACGUGCUACAAUGGCCGGCACAACAAGCAGCGAAGCCGCGAGGCGGAGCAAACCUCAAAAACCGGCCCCAGUUCGGAUUGCAGGCUGCAACCCGCCUGCAUGAAGCCGGAGUUGCUAGUAAUCGCAGAUCAGAAUGCUGCGGUGAAUGCGUUCCCGGGUCUUGUACACACCGCCCGU